This 253-nucleotide ribosomal RNA is filed under the name uncultured bacterium. RNAcentral describes it as "partial 16S ribosomal RNA". It matches the Rfam family "Bacterial small subunit ribosomal RNA", at positions 524 to 776 of the family's 1533-position model. The record is from RNAcentral.
UACAGAGACCUCGAGCGUUAUCCGGAUUCAUUGGGCGUAAAGCGUCCGCAGGUGGUUGUGAAAGUGAUGGGUUAAAUCCCGAUGCUCAACAUCGGGACUGCUCCUCAAACUCCACAACUUGAGGCUGGAAGAGGCAAGCGGAACAUAUGGUGUAGUCGUAAUAAGCGCUGAUAUCAUAUGGAACACCAAAGGCGAAGGCAGCUUGCUAGUACAUGCCUGACACUCAUGGACGAAAGCGUGGGUAGCGAAUGGG